Macaca mulatta (Rhesus monkey) is the source of this 4551-nucleotide non-coding RNA. Lineage: Eukaryota; Metazoa; Chordata; Mammalia; Primates; Cercopithecidae. The record is from RefSeq and is a predicted model, not a curated record.
AUCUUGGCAAAAUAAGCUUUCUAAAUUAACUGAGAUCUGUCUCAGAUUUUCUGGGUUCACACCAUUAUGAAAGAUACACAGAAAAUAUGAUAAGUACUACAUGAAUGUGCUUAUAAGAAAAGAGGGAAAAACAUUGGAGGCCAACAUUUAGAAUUUACAGAGAAAACAAACUGGCUUUGCAAGACAAAACAGGAUUCACACGGGCAAAGAAACUAACAAAGACUUUCCUCCCAAAUUGAGGGAAAUAGUGUUAGCAAAGGUGUCAAGGAGAACAAACCAUCUUUAGAGCACUUCAGGGAUUUGAUAGAUCUUCUUCUGGAGUAGUUUCCAUUCACUCAACACACAAGCACUGCCUGAACAUUUUACUGUGUGUCAAGGACUAUGCUAGGUGUCAGGUGGGGGGUGUCACCCAGAACUGAUUGAGGUUCAGCAUGAUCCCACAGCUAGGAAGUGCCCUUUUCCCCUGCCCUGGCCGUGGGGUAGCACUGAAUGUGUCUCAGCCAUUCUUUCAGGCAUUCCUGGUGUUUUUUCACCUGAGCUGAACUUGACUAUAAUCUUCAUGGCCAAGAAUGUGACUUAUUUUUUUCCUCUGCAUCCUUCUUCCCUCCUUGCAGGCUCAGGGAGAAGGACUUGGUAGAAUAGGUGACACUUACUUCAGUGACCUCUAUUGCCCAUUUCUUCACUCCUUCCUGGCCUCAUCAGAGCCUGCUGUCCUCUCUUCCUCUCCAUUAUUUUCAGCUGUUCAGAGCCUUUCACUGUAUGAAAACUGGUCUCAGGGGAAAACCAGUCUGUGAUGAGUCACUUUCUCUUGAAUAUGAAUGUAGGUCCCUGUGUUCUCUCUUCUGGAGGUCUUUGCACUUUAAGCCUCGUUAUGGAAUGAAAGGCUGUGCUCACUGUGAGAGGAUAUCAGGCACAGACAAGUGGGGAGGCAAAGUACCUUUCCUGCUGCUCCUGAAACCAGCACCUUCUCACUUAGCCAGUCCUGGUGAGGGUCGUUAGAGGCCCAUGAUUCAUGAGAGUCUAGAGGCUUCAUUGCUUUUUAUCAUGAUGUGGUGGUUUAAAUCAGACAGUGGCUCUCUGUAAGCCACCUGUCAGCUUGGCCAUCAUACACUUUACUCCAAAGUUUAAAGCUUUAUCAUUUGCAGAGAGAAUCCUAGCUUCUUUAUCUAUAUGUGUCCAUUAUUUUAAGGUGCGAUUCUCAACCUGGGCACUACGAAUGUUUUGGGCUGGAUAAUUUUUUGUUAUGGGCUGCCAUCCAGUACAUUGUAGGAUGCUUAACAGCAUCCCUGGCCUCCACCCCCGAGAUGCCAGGAGUACCACACACUGCCUCACUCCUCAAGUUGUGACAACCCAAAAUGUCUCUAGCCGUUGCCAAGUAUCCCCUGGGAAACAAAAUCACCUCUAGUUGAGAACCACUAUUCUGAGGGGUAUUGGUUAUUAUGUAUCAUGCCAUAUAAGAGAGACCUUAUCUAAUGUAACUCUAUUCUUUUCAAUGAAGAGGAACUAAUAAAUGUGUAAUUAACAUCAUGGAACGUUUCAUAUAAAUAAUUUUAUAAAUCAGAAUAAACAUCCUUUUUUCAGACCUCAUAUCCUAAUUUGGUUAUUAUAUUAAGUUCAUCUUUUGAAGCAAAAAACUGAAAUUCUUCUAGUGUGGCUGAUUUAUUAUACCAGAACUGUGAGUAGCAGAACCACCAUUACCCACAAGAUCAUCCCAACCUUCUGCUUGGGCAGUGCCUGGUGGCCAUCAGUGGGGGAGGAAAAUGGCAGGGGAGGGUUCAGUUCUGGUGGACUUGGUGCUUAUGUGAUUUGACAGGUCCUCUUUAAGGAAAAGACAAAAUGAUGAGGUGAACACAUUGCUGGGACCCCUCCCAGGCCUUGGAAGGGUCCUGUGAGGACAAGUGAUGAGCUGUGAAUUUAAGUUUCAUUAGCUUCUUGGGAAAGCCAUCUUUGGGAAAGGUUUUGAGGAAUGACUGGACAGCUAUGUCCGCAAGAAUAGGAAACUAGGAACUUUGUUCUACCUAUGACUGCUAGGAGCGAAGAGAAACUUCUCAAAGUGUUGACUUAAAUUGAGAGCAUGGAUCAAAAUGGAAUUGUUCCAGGUGACCUGUACUUCUGUUAACAACUGCCCUCAAAAGUAAAAAUGUCCAUAUCUUCAACAACCCCAGGUCCACAUCAGCAGCAUCUUUAUGGGUGAAACGAGGAGCAGGGUGAGUUCCAGCUUAGCAGGAGGCUCAGUAGGUAGUAGUAACUUAUUGCACUUUGUAAAUGAGAUUGGUCAGUGCCCAAGUUAUUGCUUCAGAAAGUGAAUGAAACUCGUUUUCAGGUCACUCUAAUGGUAUUUGAAGAGCUUAUAAUAGGAGUACAUUGAUUCAAACUUCUUUUUUGGAAUACCUGAGCCUGAGAUGAGACAACCUUGCAUUAAAACAGGCCAGGAAGGAAAUAUUUACCCUCUCAUUUUGGCAGGCAAGUAAUUUAAGUACAAUCAUGUGCUACAUAAUGACAUUUCAGUCAAUGAAGGCUGCACAUAGGACUACAGAACUGUAAGAUUAUAAUAUUUUUACUGUACCUUUUCUGUGUUUGGAUAUGUUUAGGUACACAAAUACCUUGUGUUACCUGCUUACCAUAUUUGGUGCAGUAGCAUGCUGUACGGAGUUGUAGCCUAGGAGCAAUAGGCCAGGCCAGAUAGCCUAGGUGGGUAGGCUAUUCCAUCUAGGUUUGUAUAAGUACUAUAAGAUGUUCCCAUAUAAGGAAAUCUACUAAUGAUGCAUUUCUCAGAUGAAUUCCCAUCAUUAAGUGAUGUAUGACUGUAUGAACUUAAAAACGUAAAAUAAUAAAGCUUUAGAAACGAAAAAAUACAUUGGUUCAGUUGAAGUUGUCCCAAGUGGGACAACUGGAAGUGGGGCUUCCAGGUCAUAGGUAGAUUUAAAAUUUUUCUGGUUAACAAUUGGUUGAGUUUGAAGACCUGGGAUCAAUAGAAAGGAAAUGUCUGGGUUAAGAUAAAGUAUUGUGGAGACCAAAGUGCUUAUUUGCAGAGGAAGCCUUCAGGUAGUCCAAUUUAACUCAUAUAAAUGUUUCUCUAUAAUUAGGUGUUGAUUUUCUCCUCCUAUAACUCUUUUCAAGGCUUUUUCUUUGUCUAAUUUUUUUCUGGUUUGAAUGUAGUAUGCUCAGGUGUGAAUUUGGGGGUAUUUAUGUUGCUUGGCAAGUUCUGAGAUUCCUGAAUAUGUGUUUUGGUGUCUCACUAAUUUGGGGAAAAUUAUCAGUCCUUAUUGCUUCAAUUCUUUUUCUGUUUCUUUCUGUUUUUUCUUCAGCUAUUACCAUUAUGUGCAUGCUACACUUUUUAAGCCCUUUCUUUUGUGCCCUUGUAUUACCAUUUUGUGCUUUUGUGGAAAAGCAGUUUUUGUACCCUGUGUUUAGGUAGUGUGAAAUACCUUCUCCAUCAGGACGGGCUGAAGAACAACUUUUUGGAAGAGGUUUGGGGUCUAGGAGUCACUCUUCUCACACAUGAAAUGGGGGCCAGUGACACAGAAGUUCUUUCCCAUAAGGAGCUCCUGCCAGUUACUCGGGUUGUUAGGAUGGACACACACCGGCCAUGUUCUGAAGCGGCUUACAUGCUGGGGCCUCUGCUCUGCCAAAGGGACAGACUUCUCUGUCAUCACUCCCCAGACGCUGGAAGAAAGCCACAGCCAUGCCAGGAGUGGAGCCAGGGAGUGCAGGACACGGCAGCAGCAGCCACAUAGGAUGGGCUGUCUACACACAAGAGAUUUUGGCAUGUUGAAUGGGCACCAUGGUGAUCUACAGUCUUCAAGAACAGUACACUUAUACCUUCAGUAAGAACUCCAGCUUCCCUGCAGCUUUAUUUCCUGAAGGGGUCAUGCUGACCAGAGAGGCGGCCACACUGAGCUUCCGAACCACCGUCCCCGCAGCUUACAGCUCUACAAGAGCUCCUUCCGCGAGGAAUACCUUCCAGUUGUUCUCACCUUAAAUGCUGCUCUUCAUCCAUCGGUAGCUGGGAAGUCGCUCGUGUCAUCCCUGCAUGAAACAGAGAAGUGGAGCGGGAGUUACCCAGCCUGUGCCCCACCAGGGCUUUUUCAGGCGUGCACAUUGGAGAGCAAAACCAGCCUUCAACCUUGCCUCAUGGCACAUGAGAGGAGAAACUUCUGGAAGCACCUCCACACUCUCUGAUAGGAUCUGGCAUAGGCAACAAGAGAGUUGUAAAGUCAAGAGUCUAUCUGUGAAGGAGACCAUUGUGUGGGUAAAGGGUUUAGAUAUUGUAGUAAACCACUUCUCUCUUUUCCAUGUUCCUUGAUUAUAGCAGAAACAUUAGGAAAGAAAUCCUGGUUGUGCAACGAAAAACAAAUUAUGCAAAUGUCAGUAAUACAUUAAAAUGCAUUAAAAUAAGUCACAGUGAAAGAAGUUAUAAAAAAUGUUUUCAAGGUUCAUCUGUGUUGUAAGAGGUAUCAGAACUUCACUCCUUUUCAUGCCUAAAUUAUAUUUUAUUGUAUGUAUAUACUACAUUUUGUUUUUUGAGACGGAGUAUUGCUCUGUUGCUUA